CCUACGGGCGGCAGCAGUGGGGGAUAUUGCACAAUGGGGGAAACCCUGAUGCAGCGACGCCGCGUGAGCGAAGAAGUAUUUCGGUAUGUAAAGCUCUAUCAGCAGGGAAGAAAACGAAGGUACCUGACUAAGAAGCUCCGGCUAAAUACGUGCCAGCAGCCGCGGUAAUACGUAUGGGGCAAGCGUUAGUCGGAUUUACUGGGUGUAAAGGGAGCGUAGGCGGUCAGGCAAGUCUGAUGUGAAAGGCCAGGGCUCAACCCUGGAACUGCAUUGGAAACUGUUUGACUGGAGUGUCGGAGAGGCAGGUGGAAUUCCUGGUGUAGCGGUGAAAUGCGUAGAUAUUAGGAGGAACACCAGUGGCGAAGGCGGCUUGCUGGACGAUGACUGCCGCUGAGGCUCGAAAGCGUGGGGAGCAAACAGGAUUAGAUACCCUUGUAGUC
Molecule: ribosomal RNA, 440 nt
Filed under: uncultured bacterium
Lineage: Bacteria
Description: partial 16S ribosomal RNA
Rfam family: Bacterial small subunit ribosomal RNA
Source: RNAcentral